AGGACCUCGCCGCGCCGAAAAUCGCCGCUGGCGAUGGUGGAGGUUAAAACACCUUCACCUCUACCCCUUCUACCCGCAUUGAUUCUCUCUUUCACAAUCCAACCUAGCUUCAUCACUCCUAGCCAAAUUCCAAUCGAAGUAAGUAACCGAGAAUCCUAAAAGAGGAAAUUCAAAUUAAACGCCGACGAAGCCUAAUCCAGGUUCCAGAGCUAGGGCUAUUGUCUUAGCAUUCAUACUACAAACUGGUAACA
This 251-nucleotide long non-coding RNA is filed under the name Lathyrus oleraceus (garden pea). Its description in RNAcentral is "Pisum sativum (pea) long non-coding RNA (PSAT_LNC009340)". The record is from RNAcentral. Lineage: Eukaryota; Viridiplantae; Streptophyta; Magnoliopsida; Fabales; Fabaceae.